AUGGAGAGCAGGUGCUACGGCUGUGCUGUCCAGUUUACCCUCUUCAAGGAGUAUGGCUGUAAGAAUUGUGGCCAAGCCUUCUGUAAGGACUCUCUUAGCUUCAGUGUUCUGCUACCCCAGACUGGCAACACAUAACAGAAAGUCUGCAAGCAGUGCCACACAGUCCUGACCAGAGGAUCCUCCAAGUGAUCGCCACCUCAGUAUAAGAAGUGUGUGGCAGCCUUGGAAGACAAGAAGAAGCCCAGCACUUCCUAGAGCCAAGGCCUGACCCACAAAGACAAAGACAUUGCUGAGUGCCUAGCAGGAAUUUGGCCGGAAAACAAGCCCAAGUCAGUACCCUCACAAGCAGAGAUAGAGGCACAGCUAGCCACGCUGAAGGAUGAAGUCCAGGGCCCCAUUCCUACCACACAGGAGAUGGAGGAUCAGCUUGCAGCAUUGCAGGGCACAGUCCUGCUUCUUCACACUUUGAGGCUGGCACACCAGGCACCAGAUAUCAGGACCCAAGGCCAGCAGAUGCAGAAUCUGCUAACACAGUUGACAGCUGAGGUGGAUAUUGAUGAAAGCUGGCAACCAAGAGCCUCAGCCCCCUCCCCCUCCAUAAUGACCUUAACAAGGGAGCUACAAGAAAUCAGCACACAAAUUCCCAGGGGCAGGCCACCCGGUCUCUGGAGGAAGAGAAGAACAAGCUGCUAGCUGAGGCAGCAGUUGAGCUACAGGAGGAGAACAACCAGGCAGGAAUAGAUCCUGGCUCUUGCCAAAAGAUUGGUUAUGUACAACAGAGUGACCCUCCAGGACGAUCAACACCCAAACAGUGAUGAGGAUGAAGAGACAGCCAUCCAGAGAGUCAUACAGCAGCUCACUGAAGAAGCUGCCCUGGAUGGGACAAGUGGCUUUAACAUUCCUGAGGAACCAGCUCCAGGAUCCCAGGCCCAACCCUGCAAGGCAGAGACUGAGGGUCCCCAGGCUGAGGAAGAACUCCCCUGGUGCUGUAUCUGUAAUGAGGAUGCUACUCUGCACGGUGCUGGCUGUGAUGGAGACCUCUACUGUGCUCAGGGCUUCUGGAAGGGCCAAGAUAACUUUGAUCUUAAAGAACAUCAGACUUCUCCCUACCACCCCCAACCACCUUGCCAAGAACACU
This 1138-nucleotide long non-coding RNA is filed under the name Mus musculus (house mouse). RNAcentral describes it as "long non-coding RNA chrX:100329691-100330829". The record is from RNAcentral. Lineage: Eukaryota; Metazoa; Chordata; Mammalia; Rodentia; Muridae.